AAGACCUUGCGCUUUUGGAGCGGCCGAUGCCUGAUUAGCUUGUUGGUAAGGUAAAAGCUUACCAAGGCUUCGAUCAGUAGCUGGUCUGAGAGGACGACCAGCCACACUGGGACUGAGACACGGCCCAGACUCCUACGGGAGGCAGCAGUGGGGAAUUUUGGACAAUGGGGGCAACCCUGAUCCAGCCACGCCGCGUGAGUGAAGAAGGCCUUCGGGUUGUAAAGCUCUUUCAGCCGGAACGAAACGGUUACGGUUAACACCCGUGACUACUGACGGUACCGGAAGAAGAAGCACCGGCUAACUACGUGCCAGCAGCCGCGGUAAUACGUAGGGUGCGAGCGUUAAUCGGAAUUACUGGGCGUAAAGCGUGCGCAGGUGGUUUUGUAAGUCAGAUGUGAAAGCCCCGGGCUCAACCUGGGAACU
RNAcentral lists this ribosomal RNA (423 nucleotides) under uncultured bacterium. RNAcentral's name for it is "bacterial SSU rRNA". It matches the Rfam family "Bacterial small subunit ribosomal RNA", at positions 207 to 622 of the family's 1533-position model. The record is from RNAcentral.